AGAGUUUGAUCCUGGCUCAGGAUGAACGCUAGCGAUAGGCUUAACACAUGCAAGUCGAGGGGCAGCGCGAGGUAGCAAUACUUUGGCGGCGACCGGCGCACGGGUGCGUAACACGUAUGUAACUUACCUCUUACAAUCGGAUAACACGGUGAAAGUCGUGCUAAUACGGUAUAGUUUCGCAAGCUCGCAUGGGCAUGCGAAUAAAGAUUCAUCGGUAAGAGAUAGACAUGCGGUCCAUUAGAUAGUUGGUGAGGUAACGGCUCACCAAGUCGACGAUGGAUAGGGGGACUGAGAGGUUGACCCCCCACACUGGUACUGAGACACGGACCAGACUCCUACGGGAGGCAGCAGUGAGGAAUAUUGGUCAAUGGGCGAGAGCCUGAACCAGCCAAGUCGCGUGAAGGAAGACGGUUCAUAAGGAUUGUAAACUUCUUUUGCAGAGGAGUAACGAUAGGCACGUGUGCCUGUGUGAACGUACUCUGCGAAUAAGUAUCGGCUAACUCCGUGCCAGCAGCCGCGGUAAUACGGAGGAUACGAGCGUUAUCCGGAAUUAUUGGGUUUAAAGGGUGCGUAGGUGGCUAUUUAAGUCAGGGGUGAAAAGCAUGAGCUCAACUCAUGUCUUGCCUUUGAAACUGGACAGCUAGAGAAAAGACGAGGUAUGUGGAAUGUGUGGUGUAGCGGUGAAAUGCAUAGAUAUCACACAGAACUCCGAUUGCGCAGGCAGCGUACCAGACUUCUUCUGACACUGAAGCACGAAAGCGUGGGGAUCAAACAGGAUUAGAUACCCUGGUAGUCCACGCAGUAAACGAUGAAUACUAGUUUUUUGCGAUAUAAUGUAAGAGACUAAGCGAAAGCGAUAAGUAUUCCACCUGGGGAGUACGCCGGCAACGGUGAAACUCAAAGGAAUUGACGGGGGCCCGCACAAGCGGAGGAACAUGUGGUUUAAUUCGAU
This 952-nucleotide ribosomal RNA is filed under the name human gut metagenome. RNAcentral's name for it is "bacterial SSU rRNA". It matches the Rfam family "Bacterial small subunit ribosomal RNA", at positions 8 to 955 of the family's 1533-position model. The record is from RNAcentral.